AGAGUUUGAUCCUGGCUCAGGACGAACGCUGGCGGCGUGCUUAACACAUGCAAGUCGGACGGUCGGUACUGGAAGGUUCGCAGGAAGGUGCCGAUAGUGGCGGACGGGUGAGUAACGCGUGAGGACAUGGCAUCAGGAGGGGGAUAACGUUUGGAAACGGACGCUAAGACCCCAUAAGCCGGGAGGUGAAAGUGGCGGAAGCCAGCCUGAUGAGUGACUCGCGUCCUAUCAGCUAGUUGGCGGGGUGAAGGCCCACCAAGGCGAUGACGGGUAGCCGACCUGAGAGGGUGGCCGGCCACACUGGAACUGAGAUACGGUCCAGACUCCUACGGGAGGCAGCAGUAAGGAAUAUUGGUCAAUGGGCGCAAGCCUGAACCAGCCAUGCCGCGUGCAGGAAGACGGCCCUAUGGGUUGUAAACUGCUUUUAUCAGGGAAUAAACCCCCGCUCGUGAGCGGGGCUGAAGGUACCUGAAGAAUAAGCAUCGGCUAACUCCGUGCCAGCAGCCGCGGUAAUACGGAGGAUGCAAGCGUUAUCCGGAUUCAUUGGGUUUAAAGGGUGCGCAGGCGGAUUGGUAAGUCAGGGGUGAAAUCCCACAGCUCAACUGUGGAACUGCCUUUGAUACUGUCAGUCUAGAGUAUAGUUGAAGUUGGCGGAAUGUGUCAUGUAGCGGUGAAAUGCUUAGAUAUGACACAGAACACCGAUCGCGAAGGCAGCUAGCUAAGCUAUAACUGACGCUCAUGCACGAAAGCGUGGGGAUCAAACAGGAUUAGAUACCCUGGUAGUCCACGCUGUAAACGAUGAUUACUCGAUGUUGGCGAUACACAGUCAGCGUCUGAGCGAAAGCAAUAAGUAAUCCACCUGGGGAGUACGAUCGCAAGAUUGAAACUCAAAGGAAUUGACGG
Molecule: ribosomal RNA, 903 nt
Filed under: uncultured bacterium
Lineage: Bacteria
Description: bacterial SSU rRNA
Rfam family: Bacterial small subunit ribosomal RNA
Source: RNAcentral